UUCUUCCUCUCUAUCUCAUCAAUCAAUCAAUCAAUCUUUAAAGAAAAAAAGAAGAGAAAAGAGACAAUGGGCUCAAGAGACCCCUACUGAGUAGCCUUCUUUAACAAAUUCUAUCCAGUGAGGGUGUUGUGUCAUUAUCAACACAGCAAGGAUAUUGUUAUGACUUUAUUGCUUCUUGAAAAAUAGUCUAGUGAAAGAAGGAGGAAGACUUGCAUAAAAUUUCUAAAGUCCAUGAGGUGGCAGAGUGAAUAAGAUGCUGGUCUCAAAAGCAUGAAGUCACCAGUUCAAUCCCUGGCAUUGCAUGUUUCUGAGUGAUAACUCAGUUCAUUUUUUCUCUCUUCCCUCAGUAAUAAAUGAAUAAACCUUUUGUAAAACUGUC
Molecule: long non-coding RNA, 379 nt
Organism: Erinaceus europaeus (western European hedgehog)
Lineage: Eukaryota; Metazoa; Chordata; Mammalia; Eulipotyphla; Erinaceidae
Exons: 2
Source: RefSeq, a predicted model, not a curated record